This 394-nucleotide ribosomal RNA is filed under the name uncultured bacterium. Its description in RNAcentral is "partial 16S ribosomal RNA". It matches the Rfam family "Bacterial small subunit ribosomal RNA", at positions 523 to 918 of the family's 1533-position model. The record is from RNAcentral.
AUACGGAGGAUGCAAGCGUUAUCCGGAUUUAUUGGGUUUAAAGGGUGCGUAGGCGGAUGAUUAAGCGUGAGGUGAAAUGCCACUGCUCAACAGUGGAACCGCCUCGCGAACUGGUUGUCUUGAAUGCUCCUGCCGUGGGAGGAAUGUGUGGUGUAGCGGUGAAAUGCAUAGAGAUCACACAGAACACCGAUUGCGAAGGCAUCUCACGAAGGGGUGAUUGACGCUGAGGCACGAAAGCGUGGGGAUCAAACAGGAUUAGAUACCCUGGUAGUCCACGCAGUAAACGAUGAUAACUAACCGCUGGGUCGUAGUGAUUCAGUGGCCAAGCGAAAGCGAUAAGUUAUCCACCUGGGGAGUACGACCGCAAGGUUGAAACUCAAAGGAAUUGACGGGG